UAGGGGAACCUGCGGUUGGAUCACCUCCUUACCUUAAAGAACCUGCCUUUGUAGUGCUCACACAGAUUGUCUGAUGAAAAGUAAAUAGCAAGGCGUCUUGCGAUUGAGACUUCAGUGUCCCCUUCGUCUAGAGGCCCAGGACACCGCCCUUUCACGGCGGUAACAGGGGUUCGAAUCCCCUAGGGGACGCCACUUGCUGGUUCGUGAGUGAAAGUCACCUGCCGACAUAUCUCAAAACUCAUCUUCGGGUGGCGUUUGAGAUAUUUGCUCUUUAAAAAUCUGGAUCAAGCUGAAAAUUGAAACGACACACAGUUAAUGUGUGUUCGAGUCUCUCAAAUUUUCACAAACCGGUGAUGAAUCGAAAGAAACAUCUUCGGGUUGUGAGGUUAAGCGACUAAGCGUACACGGUGGAUGCCCUGGCAGUCAGAGGCGAUGAAGGACGUGCUAAUCUGCGAAAAGCGCCGGCGAGGUGAUAUGAACCUUUGACCCGGCGAUGUCCGAAUGGGGAAACCCAGUGUGUUCCGACACACUAUCGUUAACUGAAUACAUAGGUUAACGAGGCGAACCGGGGGAACUGAAACAUCUAAGUACCCCGAGGAAAAGAAAUCAA
Molecule: unclassified non-coding RNA, 610 nt
Filed under: Enterobacter cloacae
Lineage: Bacteria; Pseudomonadati; Pseudomonadota; Gammaproteobacteria; Enterobacterales; Enterobacteriaceae
Description: partial 16S-23S ribosomal RNA intergenic spacer
Rfam family: Bacterial large subunit ribosomal RNA (bases 385-610)
Source: RNAcentral